Non-coding RNA from Caenorhabditis elegans, 21 nucleotides. Lineage: Eukaryota; Metazoa; Nematoda; Chromadorea; Rhabditida; Rhabditidae. The record is from Ensembl.
UUGCAAAGGCGAAAUUUUUCU